RNAcentral lists this ribosomal RNA (473 nucleotides) under uncultured bacterium. Its description in RNAcentral is "partial 16S ribosomal RNA". It matches the Rfam family "Bacterial small subunit ribosomal RNA", at positions 28 to 507 of the family's 1533-position model. The record is from RNAcentral.
GAUGAACGCUAGCGGCAGGCCUAAUACAUGCAAGUCGAACGGGUGGUCGCAAGACCACUAGUGGCGCACGGGUGCGUAACGCGUAACCAACCUGCCCCGAUCUGGGGGAUAGCCCGCCGAAAGGCGGAUUAAUACCGCAUAUACCCGCAGCCUGGCAUCAGGCAACGGGGAAAGAUUUAUUGGAUCGGGAUGGGGUUGCGUGACAUUAGCUAGUUGGCGGGGUAAGGGCCCACCAAGGCGACGAUGUCUAGGGGACCUGAGAGGGUGAUCCCCCACACUGGCACUGAGAUACGGGCCAGACUCCUACGGGAGGCAGCAGUAGGGAAGAUUGGGCAAUGGGCGAGAGCCUGACCCAGCCAUGCCGCGUGCCGGAUGAAGGCCUUCUGGGUUGUAAACGGCUUUUCUCAGGGAAGAAAAAGGCCUUGCGAGGUACACUGACGGUACCUGAGGAAUAAGCACCGGCUAACUCCGUG